This 1434-nucleotide ribosomal RNA is filed under the name uncultured bacterium. Its description in RNAcentral is "bacterial SSU rRNA". It matches the Rfam family "Bacterial small subunit ribosomal RNA". The record is from RNAcentral.
AGAGUUUGAUCCUGGCUCAGAAUUAACGCUAGCGAUACACCUAACACAUGCAAGUUGAACGCAUAUAUUUUUAUAUGAGUAGCGAACGGGUGCGUAACACGUGAGAAUCUACCCAUAGCUUAUGGUUAAAUGCCGUAGAAUCUUAUAGAUUUAGAUAUAUAUCGGUUAUGGAUGAGCUUGCGGGGUAUUAGGUAGUUGGUGUGGUAAUGGCGCACCAAGCCCAAGAUGCCUAGCCGGUUUGAGAGAACGAUCGGCCACACUGGGACUGAGACACGGCCCAGACGCUUACGAGCGGCAGCAGUGGGGAAUAUUGGACAAUGGGCGAAAGCCUGAUCCAGUGAUAUCGCUUUGGGGAUGACGGCGACAUACGUUGUAAACCCAAUGAAGUACGUUUAGAUUAUGACCGUACGUAUUUUAGAAGUCCCGGCUAAUCUCGUGCCAGCAGCCGCGGUAAUACGAGAGGGGCAAGCGUUAUUCAAAAUGAUUGGGCGUAAAGCGCACGUAGGUGGUGAUAUGUAUCCAUAAUUAUUCAGGCUACAAGUCUUGUCGAUAUUUAUGAUGUAUAUGUAUUUCUUGAGGGUGUGAGAGGAGCAUGGAAUUUCCUAGGAAGCGGUAGAAUGUGUUGAUCUAGGAAGGAACACCAAUAGCGAAAGCAGUGCUCUGGCACAUUCCUGACAUUGAGUGCGAAAGCGUGGGGAUCAAAAGGGAUUAGAUACCUCUGUAGUCACGCUGUCAACGAUGACCAUUCCCUGUAUUUGAAAAAUCAAAGUGUAGGUUAGCUAACGCGGUAAAUGGUCCGCCUGAGGAGUACGGUCGCAAGACUAAAACUCAAAGGAAUAGACGGGGGCUCACACAAGUGGUGGAACAUGUGGUUUAAUUCGAUACUACGCGCAAAACCUUACCAGUUCUUGACAUGAUCCUUAUGGAUCACAGGUGUUGCAUGGCUGUCGUCAGCUCGUGUGGUGACAUGUUGGAUUAAUUUCCCGAACGAGCGAAACCCUGCUAUAUUGUAAUAACUUUAUGUAAUUCAAUAUAGACCGCCAGUGAUAGACUGGAGGCAGGAUAGGAUGACGUCAAGUCCUCAUGACCCUUAUGAACUGGGCUACACACGUGUUACAAUGGUGUAAACAAAACGUAGCAAUGAUGAAAAUCGGAGCCAAUCGCUAAAUUACACCUCAGUACGGAUUGGUGUCUGCAACUCGACUCCAUGAAGCCGGAAUCACUAGUAAUCGUGGAUCAGCAUGCCACGGUGAAUACGUACCUGAGCCUUGUACUCCCCGCCCGUCACACUCUGGGAGUAGUAUGUAGUGGAAGUAUCCUUGAUGUAUUUAUAUUUUACCUAUAUUUUGAAAAUACAGAAUUAAUGUAAGUAUAGGAAUAGGGUCCCAGACCGCAUAUCACAACUGGAGUGAAGUCGUAACUAAGGUAGCCGUA